AGAACGAACGCUGGCGGCAUGCCUAACACAUGCAAGUCGAACGCUCAUCUUCGGAUGGGAGUGGCGCACGGGUGAGUAACGCGUGGGAACCUGCCCCGAGGUUCGGGAUAACCGAUGGAAACGUCGGCUAAUACCGGAUACGUCCUAAGGGAGAAAGAUUUAUCGCCCUGGGAGGGGCCCGCGUCGGAUUAGCUAGUUGGUGGGGUAACGGCCUACCAAGGCGAUGAUCCGUAGCUGGUCUGAGAGGAUGAUCAGCCACACUGGGACUGAGACACGGCCCAGACUCCUACGGGAGGCAGCAGUGGGGAAUAUUGGACAAUGGGCGCAAGCCUGAUCCAGCAAUGCCGCGUGAGUGAUGAAGGCCUUAGGGUUGUAAAGCUCUUUCGGCGGGGACGAUGAUGACGGUACCCGCAGAAGAAGCCCCGGCUAACUUCGCGCCAGCAGCCGC
RNAcentral lists this ribosomal RNA (448 nucleotides) under uncultured bacterium. RNAcentral's name for it is "SSU rRNA". It matches the Rfam family "Bacterial small subunit ribosomal RNA", at positions 26 to 518 of the family's 1533-position model. The record is from RNAcentral.